Molecule: ribosomal RNA, 263 nt
Filed under: uncultured archaeon
Lineage: Archaea
Description: partial 16S ribosomal RNA
Rfam family: Archaeal small subunit ribosomal RNA
Source: RNAcentral
ACGUCUACAUUAGAUACCCGUGUAGUCCUAGCCGUAAACGAUACUCGCUAGGUGUCGGCCACGGUGCGACCGUUGUCGGUGCCGUAGGGAAGCCGUGAAGCGAGCCACCUGGGAAGUACGGCCGCAAGGCUGAAACUUAAAGGAAUUGGCGGGGGAGCACCACAACGGGUGGAGCUUGCGGUUUAAUUGGAUUCAACGCCGGAAAUCUUACCGGGACCGACAGCAACAUGAAGGCCAGGCUGAAGACUUUGCCGGAUUAGCUG